Molecule: long non-coding RNA, 765 nt
Filed under: Dasypus novemcinctus (nine-banded armadillo)
Lineage: Eukaryota; Metazoa; Chordata; Mammalia; Cingulata; Dasypodidae
Description: lncRNA (ENSDNOG00000051142.1)
Source: RNAcentral
GCAUCCUUAUUCAGAUUUGGUGACGUGGCGAGGCACGUCGGGGCCCGGGCGGCCAAUGGGCGCGCCGUGGCCAUGGCAACCUCUUAAAUUUAUAGCAUAUCUAAAUUGGCUACAGCGUUGCGGUCCGGACAGAGCAAAAAAAACAAGGCAUCAGUAUUGUUGAGUAUUAGCUUGUACCUGGUUCCGAGGCUAAGUGACACGUUGACUGGGGACAGACUGUGGGCGACUGGACAGUAAAACGAAUUCCAAACCCAAACUGAACCUGCCACCGUGACUCCCAGCUCCCAACCGGCGUCCUAACACCUCGUGAGACAGAGUCGAGGUUUGGCGGAGCAGGCAGGGGGCGAGCGGUCGCUGCACGGCUGGGCGCGGGCGCCGGAGUUCGGACCGAGACAAAGGCGGGAGCUGUCCGCGGUGCUGAACCCGUCCGCGGCCGCAGGGGCAAGGGGGCUCCUGCAACCGGCCCUCUCCCUCUCGCUCUCCUUUUCCUCUUCCUCCUUCACUCCGGGGCUCCUGCCUUCUCCUGCGUUUAUUUCCCUCCUUUUGCCUCUCCUUAGAACCCCCGACCUGUACGCAGGUAUAUACAUACCCAUAUAUUUAUUAUUUUUCCUAUCAAACAAAAUGAUUGAUUAAAAACGUGUCUUCUCCUUUCUUCCCAAAUGAAUGAUUUAAGAACGGCUCAUUUUAAAUGUUCUCUAAACCAGAUAUAAAUAGCUAUUCCCACCGCCAAAGAAGUGGAAAUUCGUGUUUAAAACAAUAGACCUG